ACGUUCAACCGCAAAACAAGCAGAGGGGGCUUAGUGGUGGGGUGACUGCGUACCUUUUGUAUAAUGGGUCAGCGACUUAUAUUCUGUAGCAAGGUUAACCGAAUAGGGGAGCCGCAGGGAAACCGAGUCUUAACCGGGCGUUAAGUUGCAGGGUAUAGACCCGAAACCCGGUGAUCUAGCCAUGGGCAGGUUGAAGGUUGGGUAACACUAACUGGAGGACCGAACCGACUAAUGUUGAAAAAUUAGCGGAUGACCUGUGGCUGGGGGUGAAAGGCCAAUCAAACCGGGAGAUAGCUGGUUCUCCCCGAAAGCUAUUUAGGUAGCGCCUCGUGAAUUCAUCUCCGGGGGUAGAGCACUGUUUCGGCUAGGGGGCCAUCCCGGCUUACCAACCCGAUGCAAACUGCGAAUACCGGAGAAUGUUAUCACGGGAGACACACGGCGGGUGCUAACGUCCGUCGUGAAGAGGGAAACAACCCAGACCGCCAGCUAAGGUCCCAAAGUCAUGGUUAAGUGGGAAACGAUGUGGGAAGGCCCAGACAGCCAGGAUGUUGGCUUAGAAGCAGCCAUCAUUUAAAGAAAGCGUAAUAGCUCACUGGUCGAGUCGGCCUGCGCGGAAGAUGUAACGGGGCUAAACCAUGCACCGAAGCUGCGGCAGCGACGCUGAUGCGUUGUUGGGUAGGGGAGCGUUCUGUAAGCCUGUGAAGGUGGCCUGUGAGGGUUGCUGGAGGUAUCAGAAGUGCGAAUGCUGACAUAAGUAACGAUAAAGCGGGUGAAAAGCCCGCUCGCCGGAAGACCAAGGGUUCCUGUCCAACGUUAAUCGGGGCAGGGUGAGUCGACCCCUAAGGCGAGGCCGAAAGGCGUAGUCGAUGGGAAACGGGUUAAUAUUCCCGUACUUGGUGUUACUGCGAAGGGGGGACGGAGAAGGCUAUGUUGGCCGGGCGACGGUUGUCCCGGUUUAAGCGUGUAGGUGUGUGUUCCAGGUAAAUCCGGUUCACUUUAACACUGAGGCGUGACGACGAGGCACUACGGUGCUGAAGCAACAAAUGCCCUGCUUCCAGGAAAAGCCUCUAAGCAUCAGGUAACAUCAAAUCGUACCCCAAACCGACACAGGUGGUCAGGUAGAGAAUACCAAGGCGCUUGAGAGAACUCGGGUGAAGGAACU
This 1162-nucleotide ribosomal RNA is filed under the name Salmonella enterica. RNAcentral describes it as "partial 23S ribosomal RNA". It matches the Rfam family "Bacterial large subunit ribosomal RNA", at positions 566 to 1714 of the family's 2925-position model. Lineage: Bacteria; Pseudomonadati; Pseudomonadota; Gammaproteobacteria; Enterobacterales; Enterobacteriaceae. The record is from RNAcentral.